UCGUACGCUUCUUUUUCACCGGAGCUUGCUCCACCGGAAAAAGAAGAGUGGCGAACGGGUGAGUAACACGUGGGUAACCUGCCCAUCAGAAGGGGAUAACACUUGGAAACAGGUGCUAAUACCGUAUAACAAUCGAAACCGCAUGGUUUUGAUUUGAAAGGCGCUUUCGGGUGUCGCUGAUGGAUGGACCCGCGGUGCAUUAGCUAGUUGGUGAGGUAACGGCUCACCAAGGCCACGAUGCAUAGCCGACCUGAGAGGGUGAUCGGCCACAUUGGGACUGAGACACGGCCCAAACUCCUACGGGAGGCAGCAGUAGGGAAUCUUCGGCAAUGGACGAAAGUCUGACCGAGCAACGCCGCGUGAGUGAAGAAGGUUUUCGGAUCGUAAAACUCUGUUGUUAGAGAAGAACAAGGAUGAGAGUAACUGUUCAUCCCUUGACGGUAUCUAACCAGAAAGCCACGGCUAACUACGUGCCAGCAGCCGCGGUAAUACGUAGGUGGCAAGCGUUGUCCGGAUUUAUUGGGCGUAAAGCGAGCGCAGGCGGUUUCUUAAGUCUGAUGUGAAAGCCCCCGGCUCAACCGGGGAGGGUCAUUGGAAACUGGGAGACUUGAGUGCAGAAGAGGAGAGUGGAAUUCCAUGUGUAGCGGUGAAAUGCGUAGAUAUAUGGAGGAACACCAGUGGCGAAGGCGGCUCUCUGGUCUGUAACUGACGCUGAGGCUCGAAAGCGUGGGGAGCAAACAGGAUUAGAUACCCUGGUAGUCCACGCCGUAAACGAUGAGUGCUAAGUGUUGGAGGGUUUCCGCCCUUCAGUGCUGCAGCUAACGCAUUAAGCACUCCGCCUGGGGAGUACGACCGCAAGGUUGAAACUCAAAGGAAUUGACGGGGGCCCGCACAAGCGGUGGAGCAUGUGGUUUAAUUCGAAGCAACGCGAAGAACCUUACCAGGUCUUGACAUCCUUUGACCACUCUAGAGAUAGAGCUUCCCCUUCGGGGGCAAAGUGACAGGUGGUGCAUGGUUGUCGUCAGCUCGUGUCGUGAGAUGUUGGGUUAAGUCCCGCAACGAGCGCAACCCUUAUUGUUAGUUGCCAUCAUUUAGUUGGGCACUCUAGCAAGACUGCCGGUGACAAACCGGAGGAAGGUGGGGAUGACGUCAAAUCAUCAUGCCCCUUAUGACCUGGGCUACACACGUGCUACAAUGGGAAGUACAACGAGUCGCGAAGUCGCGAGGCUAAGCUAAUCUCUUAAAGCUUCUCUCAGUUCGGAUUGUAGGCUGCAACUCGCCUACAUGAAGCCGGAAUCGCUAGUAAUCGCGGAUCAGCACGCCGCGGUGAAUACGUUCCCGGGCCUUGUACACACCGCCCGUCACACCACGAGAGUUUUAACACCCGAAGUCGGUGAG
Molecule: ribosomal RNA, 1398 nt
Filed under: Enterococcus durans
Lineage: Bacteria; Bacillati; Bacillota; Bacilli; Lactobacillales; Enterococcaceae
Description: bacterial SSU rRNA
Rfam family: Bacterial small subunit ribosomal RNA
Source: RNAcentral